AACCUCCGCAAUGUGAGAAAUCGCGACGGGGGGAUCCCAAGUGCCAUUCUUAACGGGAUGGCUUUUCAUUAGUGUAAAGAGCUUUUGGAAUAAGGGCUGGGCAAGACCGGUGCCAGCCGCCGCGGUAACACCGGCAGCUCUAGUGGUAGCAGUUUUUAUUGGGCCUAAAGCGUCCGUAGCCGGUUUAAUAAGUCUCUGGUGAAAUCCUGUAGCUUAACUGUGGGAAUUGCUGGAGAUACUAUUAGACUUGAGACCGGGAGAGGUUAGAGGUACUCCCAGGGUAGAGGUGAAAUUCUGUAAUCCUGGGAGGACCGCCUGUUGCGAAGGCGUCUAACUGGAACGGUUCUGACGGUGAGGGACGAAAGUUAGGGGCGCGAACCGGAUUAGAUACCCGGGUAGUCCUAACUGUAAACGAUGCGGACUUGGUGUUGGGGUGGCUUUGAGCUGCUCCAGUGCCGAAGGGAGCUGUUAAGUCCGCCGCCUGGGAAGUACGGUCGCAAGACUGAAACUUAAAAGAAUU
RNAcentral lists this ribosomal RNA (520 nucleotides) under uncultured bacterium. RNAcentral's name for it is "bacterial SSU rRNA". It matches the Rfam family "Archaeal small subunit ribosomal RNA", at positions 345 to 866 of the family's 1478-position model. The record is from RNAcentral.